UUGGACGCUGGCGGCAGGCCUAACACAUGCAAGUCGCACGGUAACAGGAAACAGCUUGCUGUUUCGCUGACGAGUGGCGGACGGGUGAGUAAUGUCUGGGAAACUGCCUGAUGGAGGGGGAUAACUACUGGAAACGGUAGCUAAUACCGCAUAACGUCGCAAGACCAAAGAGGGGGACCUUCGGGCCUCUUGCCAUCGGAUGUGCCCAGAUGGGAUUAGCUAGUAGGUGGGGUAACGGCUCACCUAGGCGACGAUCCCUAGCUGGUCUGAGAGGAUGACCAGCCACACUGGAACUGAGACACGGUCCAGACUCCUACGGGAGGCAGCAGUGGGGAAUAUUGCACAAUGGGCGCAAGCCUGAUGCAGCCAUGCCGCGUGUAUGAAGAAGGCCUUCGGGUUGUAAAGUACUUUCAGCGGGGAGGAAGGGAGUAAAGUUAAUACCUUUACUCAUUGACGUUACCCGCAGAAGAAGCACCGGCUAACUCCGUG
RNAcentral lists this ribosomal RNA (489 nucleotides) under uncultured bacterium. RNAcentral describes it as "partial 16S ribosomal RNA". It matches the Rfam family "Bacterial small subunit ribosomal RNA", at positions 30 to 507 of the family's 1533-position model. The record is from RNAcentral.